UAAUAAUGGUGAGGGCAAUUUCUAAGCAUACCCUUAAAUCUCUCCCAAGCUUGGUAUAGAUUCUCUCCUUCUUUCUAUCUAAAACUCAAAAUCUCACUUCUUAAACG
This is a non-coding RNA of Capsicum annuum, 107 nucleotides long. The record is from Rfam. NCBI's taxonomy places the organism in Eukaryota, Viridiplantae, Streptophyta, Magnoliopsida, Solanales, Solanaceae.